UGGGGAAUAUUGCACAAUGGGCGCAAGCCUGAUGUAGCCAUGCCGCGUGUAUGAAGAAGGCCUUCGGGUUGUAAAGUACUUUCAGCGGGGAGGAAGGCGAUAAGGUUAAUAACCUUGUCGAUUGACGUUACCCGCAGAAGAAGCACCGGCUAACUCCGUGCCAGCAGCCGCGGUAAUACGGAGGGUGCAAGCGUUAAUCGGAAUUACUGGGCGUAAAGCGCACGCAGGCGGUCUGUCAAGUCGGAUGUGAAAUCCCCGGGCUCAACCUGGGAACUGCAUUCGAAACUGGCAGGCUAGAGUCUUGUGGAGGGGGGUAGAAUUCCAGGUGUAGCGGUGAAAUGCGUAGAGAUCUGGAGGAAUACCGGUGGCGAAGGCGGCCCCCUGGACAAAGACUGACGCUCAGGUGCGAAAGCGUGGGGAGCAAACA
RNAcentral lists this ribosomal RNA (427 nucleotides) under uncultured bacterium. RNAcentral describes it as "partial 16S ribosomal RNA". It matches the Rfam family "Bacterial small subunit ribosomal RNA", at positions 355 to 774 of the family's 1533-position model. The record is from RNAcentral.